This 650-nucleotide long non-coding RNA is filed under the name Mus musculus (house mouse). Its description in RNAcentral is "RIKEN cDNA C030005K06 gene". The record is from RNAcentral. Lineage: Eukaryota; Metazoa; Chordata; Mammalia; Rodentia; Muridae.
AGAGAAAUCUGAAAAGCAGCCUUGGUGGGCUGGCUUGGCUAGGUCUGGUGCUGGGUCCUUUGCUCCUUAACUGCCUGGCUGGUGGGACAGGGCUGCCUACUCUCUAAAGUCCAGCCAGGCAGAGACAAAGUUCCCCACCGCUUUCUGCGAGCUCCCAUCAGCUCCUGCUCCCGCCUUCCUCCACAUUCCUGCGCUGAACUUGGCGGAGUCCAGCGGCUGGCGUACCUUCCCUGGGCUCCUCCGCUUCGGAGAGCAUGCUGUCGGGGUGCACAGCCACAGGCGCCACCGCCACGGACAUGGACGUGAGGCUGCGAGGCUCCUAGACGAGGCCUUGUUUUAGCAUCAACCCUAGAGUGAGGGGCUCCAAGUAAAAUACCUGAAAGGAAAACAUCCAAUGGAAAGAAAUCUCUGGCUGGAGAGUGUUACAUUCUCCUAUAACUGAGAAAGGACCUUAAGAAAAAAAAAACUCAAAUAUCCAUCUACUUAUCUAUAAAAUGAAGACAAAAGCAGUAUGUGAUUCACAGAUUUGUCUGGUUAUUACAGAUGGCACUAUAAACACAGUGAUUUGAAACUGUAAGUUCUACACACAGGUUGUCACUAACUAUUGCACCUUAUUACAAUAAACUUUGUAAAGGAUACUCUUGCCUUUU